Molecule: ribosomal RNA, 488 nt
Filed under: uncultured bacterium
Lineage: Bacteria
Description: bacterial SSU rRNA
Rfam family: Bacterial small subunit ribosomal RNA
Source: RNAcentral
GAUGAACGCUGGCGGCGUGCCUAAUACAUGCAAGUCGAACGAGGUGCUUUUGUAGCAAUACGAGAGUAUCCUAGUGGCGAACGGGUGAGUAACGCGUUGGUGACCUACCCCAAAGUGUGGGAUAACAGUCCGAAAGGAUUGCUAAUACCGCAUGUGGUCUUCGGAUUUAGAAACUGAUGACUAAAGGAGCAAUUCGCUUUGGGAGGGACCUGCGUCCCAUCAGCUAGUUGGUGAGGUAAUGGCUCACCAAGGCUACGACGGGUAGGGGACCUGAGAGGGUGACCCCCCCACAAUGGAACUGAAACACGGUCCAUACACCUACGGGUGGCAGCAGUAGGGAAUAUUGCACAAUGGGGCGAAAGCCUGAUGCAGCAACGCCGCGUGUGCGAUGAAGGCCUUCGGGUUGUAAAGCACUUUUCUGGGAGAUGAGCAAGGACAGUAUCUCAGGAAUAAGUCUCGGCUAACUACGUGCCAGCAGCCGCGGUAAU